ACGGGUGAGUAACACGUAGGUAACCUGCCUGCAAGACUGGGAUAACAUUCGGAAACGAAUGCUAAUACCGGAUACGCGAAUCUCUCGCAUGGGAGAAUCGGGAAAGACGGAGCAAUCUGUCACUUGCAGAUGGACCUGCGGCGCAUUAGCUAGUUGGUGAGGUAAUGGCUCACCAAGGCGACGAUGCGUAGCCGACCUGAGAGGGUGAUCGGCCACACUGGGACUGAGACACGGCCCAGACUCCUACGGGAGGCAGCAGUAGGGAAUCUUCCGCAAUGGACGAAAGUCUGACGGAGCAACGCCGCGUGAGUGAUGAAGGUUUUCGGAUCGUAAAGCUCUGUUGCCAGGGAAGAACGCUAUGGAGAGUAACUGCUCCAUAGGUGACGGUACCUGAGAAGAAAGCCCCGGCUAACUACGUGCCAGCAGCCGCGGUAAUACGUAGGGGGCAAGCGUUGUCCGGAAUUAUUGGGCGUAAAGCGCGCGCAGGCGGCUAAUUAAGUCUGGUGUUUAAUCCCGGAGCUCAACUCCGGAUCGCACGGGAAACUGGUUGGCUUGAGUACAGAAGAGGAAAGUGGAAUUCCACGUG
RNAcentral lists this ribosomal RNA (586 nucleotides) under uncultured bacterium. Its description in RNAcentral is "bacterial SSU rRNA". It matches the Rfam family "Bacterial small subunit ribosomal RNA", at positions 102 to 675 of the family's 1533-position model. The record is from RNAcentral.